Molecule: long non-coding RNA, 2569 nt
Organism: Dromiciops gliroides (monito del monte)
Lineage: Eukaryota; Metazoa; Chordata; Mammalia; Microbiotheria; Microbiotheriidae
Exons: 3
Source: RefSeq, a predicted model, not a curated record
GGCCGCCAUUGCUCGACGCUGAGCUUGGGUCCCUUGGUCCAGGGAGGAGGCAACUACUGCUGCUGCCUCCGCGGCGGCGGCGGUGGGGAGGGAGGAGUCCGGCUGCGCGGCUCGCUCCCCGCCUGCCUGCCCGCGGCUCGGCUCUUCAGCGCGCGCUCUCCCUCCCUCACCCCUCUCCUCUCCCACUGUCUUCCUUCCUUGCUUGCUUGCUUGCUUGCUUCCUUCCUUCCUUCCUUUCUUCCUCCUCCGAGAGACUGGGGCUUAGCGCCUAGCCUGCAGAUGCCCCCAUGGAGGCAGCCCCGCUGCUGCUGCUGUUGCUGCCGCCGCCUCUGCUGCUGCUGCUGCUGCCGCCGCCGCCGCUGCAGGCAGCCCCGGGAGCGGCGUGAGCCUGUCAGCGGGAGUGGGACAUAGGGGGCAGCGGAGAGCGAGGUGGAGGCUGGGGAGCUCCAGCUGGGACCGUCGUGUGCCCCCACCGCGGCCGGCAACGUCCGGACCCGCCGCCGCCGGCGGCUCUUCCACCUGGCGCGGAGUGGAGUUUUGCAAAGUGCCGGUUUCUGGCUCUGCGGGUGUGAGAGCGAAAGCUAGAGAACGAAUGUGCGAGUGUGAGAGCGAGGGAGCGAAUGUGUGUGUGUGCGUGUGCGCGCGAGAGUGAGUGAGUGUGGUUGGAUGUGUAUGCCUGUAUGUGUGCGCGCGUGUGUAUGUGUGUGUGUGUGUGUGUGUGUGUGUGUGUGUGUGUGUGCGUGCGCCGUCCUUCCCCCGCCCGCCGCUGCCCGGUCUAGCUAGACACCCGGGCAAGAGCCUAGGGCCCUGGGGCUGGGACAGUUCAGGCAGCAGCGCCACCAGCCCCAGCGCUGCGCACCCUUCCCCGGCCUGGGGUCAAGACUCGGGCGGGACCUUCUCUGGGCAGCGUCACAGCAGCCCGGCGGGGGCAAAGAACUGGGGCUUUCGGACAGCGCCUGGGGCCUGUGUCGGGGAAGGACCUAAGAAAGGAAGGUAUGCUUCGCGACCAGGGAGAGAGGACCACCAGAGAGGGAGCCCAGCUGUGUGAAUCUGGAUAGCUUCAGCAUCCCAACCCUGAAAGUCUACUAUCGUGGCAUUUCUGCCAGCCUCAAAGCCCGGGGCGGCACUAGGAGGUCGAGAGAGACGGCAGCCUGGACCUGCCUUAACCAAAGGACUUCUUUUCAACCAGCUAGCUGGAAAAAGAUGAGGAAACCGACUCAGUAUGUCUAUGGGGCUUGUCAUAUGGUCAGUGGCAAAGAUGGCAUUCAAACCUAGAUUUCCAACUCUAAAUUCAGUGAUGUUCCUGGACUACAACAGGUUGCCUAUCAAGAUCUGACUAGCAGGAAAUGCAUCAUAUUUGGACCUCGGGGUUUCUGCAUUCUGUCCCCAUCCUCUCACGAAAUCCUUGACGCAGGAAUCCAGCAAGCACCCCUAGCUAGGGCCCCAUUUUCGUAAGACCCAGACUAUCAUCUCUCCAGGAGUCAACUGAAUCCCCUGGAGACAAUUCCUAACAUGGUGGAGAAUAAAUCCCUGUUUGAGAUUUGUGGCAUUUCCUUUCCCUCCUAUGUCUUCUUGCUCCUCAUGCUCUCUUCCCUCCUCCCACUCAAAGACUCAUAAAUCAGAUAUUCAACCUAUAGAUUUAAGUGUGAACACAGAGAAAUAAGGCACUGGUUCCUCUCCCCUCCCAAUCCGAGAUUUGGGAGGUGAAGAAUGGAAGAAAGGCAGAUCUGAGCUUUCCAAUCCCUCCCUCUGAGGCACCACCUAAUCUCAUGAGCAGAGAAGAAACCAGCAAGGAAUGAAUCACGAUGCCUCUGUGACAAUUAGAAUUAAGCAUAAGGUGGUUUUUAUAGCCAGUGGGUGUUUGAAUGUCUUCAAGUUUUAUGACCCAUUUCCCAAUUCACUCCCCCUCCCCCACACUCAGAGGGUUCAGUCCCUCCACUCCUUCGGGCAAUGGGAAAGGUGAGGGAAGUGGUAAUGAAGAAAGAAUCGAAGACUCGCCAUCUGCCUCCUUCCUAACUGAUUUUCCUUGACCUCCAUUAUAGUCAUUCUGGUGUGUUCCAAUUACUUCCAAAUCCCCAGUGUUGCAGGUAAAAAAGUAAAACUGAUCCAGCAGGGAAGCUAACCGAAUCACCCUUCCUUUUGCCAUCCCACCCCUCGCUCUCACCUUCACCCUUUACAUCCAAAGUUUAUCUUGUUAAGAAGAAAAGAGCUUCCUUGAACACGAAGAGACAAACUUGGAUAGGAGUUGGCUUGGCUUGAGGUUUUUAUGUUUUUUUUUUUUUAGUAAAGCCAGUUAACAUUAAUAAACUACAGACUUAGAACAACCAUCACUGUUGGUAACAGCUGAAUGCUAGCAACCAUCCCCAGCAAGAGGGGAAAAAAGAGUUGAAUAUCCUGUUUACAUUUCUAGUUUGAUUUGUUAACAUGAGUCAGGUGUCAUUAGAGUAUUGACUGAGCCUGGGGUCCCUGCUGUGAAUCAAUCCCAACCAGUUUUGAUUAAUGACUCAUUGUCAACCAGGAAGGAGGUCUCUCUGUACAGCACAGUGCCCCAUCCUUCGUUCUGUCCUGU